This 64-nucleotide transfer RNA is filed under the name Teloganodidae sp. MT-2014. Its description in RNAcentral is "tRNA-Pro". The record is from RNAcentral. Lineage: Eukaryota; Metazoa; Arthropoda; Insecta; Ephemeroptera; Teloganodidae.
CAGGAAAUAGUUUAAAUUUAAAAUUUUAGUUUUGGAGACUAAGGAUAAGGAUUCUUUUUCCUGA